UACGUAGGGUGCGAGCGUUGUCCGGAAUUAUUGGGCGUAAAGGGCUCGUAGGCGGUUUGUCGCGUCGGGAGUGAAAACUCAGGGCUUAACCCUGAGCCUGCUUCCGAUACGGGCAGACUAGAGGUAUGCAGGGGAGAACGGAAUUCCUGGUGUAGCGGUGAAAUGCGCAGAUAUCAGGAGGAACACCGGCGGCGAAGGCGGCCAACUGGCGAAACAUUGACGCUGAGGUGCGAAAGCGUGGGGAGCGAACAGG
RNAcentral lists this ribosomal RNA (253 nucleotides) under uncultured bacterium. Its description in RNAcentral is "partial 16S ribosomal RNA". It matches the Rfam family "Bacterial small subunit ribosomal RNA", at positions 524 to 776 of the family's 1533-position model. The record is from RNAcentral.